Molecule: ribosomal RNA, 382 nt
Filed under: uncultured bacterium
Lineage: Bacteria
Description: bacterial SSU rRNA
Rfam family: Bacterial small subunit ribosomal RNA
Source: RNAcentral
GGGUGAGUAACGCGUAGGUAACCUGCCUGGUAGCGGGGGAUAACUAUUGGAAACGAUAGCUAAUACCGCAUAACAUUGACUAUUGCAUGAUAGUCAAUUGAAAGGUGCAAAUGCACCACUACCAGAUGGACCUGCGUUGUAUUAGCUAGUUGGUGGGGUAACGGCUCACCAAGGCUACGAUACAUAGCCGACCUGAGAGGGUGAUCGGCCACACUGGGACUGAGACACGGCCCAGACUCCUACGGGAGGCAGCAGUAGGGAAUCUUCGGCAAUGGACGGAAGUCUGACCGAGCAACGCCGCGUGAGUGAAGAAGGUUUUCGGAUCGUAAAGCUCUGUUGUAAGAGAAGAACGAGUGUGAGAGUGGAAAGUCACACUGUGACG